This is a long non-coding RNA of Peromyscus eremicus (cactus mouse), 4400 nucleotides long. RefSeq lists it as uncharacterized. NCBI's taxonomy places the organism in Eukaryota, Metazoa, Chordata, Mammalia, Rodentia, Cricetidae. The transcript has 2 exons. The record is from RefSeq and is a predicted model, not a curated record.
GAAAGAAAUACUAAAGAGCUCUGACCGUCCACAGUUGGUUAACUUAGAACUUACUUGCCAGAUUUGGGUGAGGGGGUGGUUGGUUUCAGCAUCUACUUGUCUUUCUUUAAAGGUCAAUGACUUUUCCCACAGUUUAAAUUUGACCUAUCCGUUUAUGCCUCCAUGUUGAUUUGGAGGUCAGUUAUUUUAAUCUAAUCUACAACACCGUAAAACUUGGAGGCAGAGACUAUCCUCUUUAACAUUUAGCGUUUCCCUUUUCUAGAAAUUAUAUUGAUUUCCUUUUAUUUUGUACAGAAUUCCAUUUUAAAUUAAAAUAUAGUGGAUUUAAAUUUUGUGGCCCUAUGGAAAAGCCCACAGUCAGAUGCUCCAUCUAAGGGCAUGGGAAAGACAGCAGGGUGCAUCGGAUUUUGCCAGCCUGAUAGCCAGAUUCCUAGGUGAAUAAAAAAGAUGAUGAGGGAAAUGGUUGGCCUCUUUUGUUUUUGCUGGGUUUUUAGCAGUGAGCUUGCAGGGCUGAUGAGCAGUCAGUACUUGAGCAGGCGCUGGCACCACGACACCUGUGUGAAGAGUGUGCCUUCCGCUGCCUGGCUUUGCUCUUGGCUUUGUGAUCUGUGGAACCUGGUUAGGAAUGCCCUCUGUUGGGUGGCGUGGCUCCCUUUGGAUAUUAAUAGACAAUGUCAGUGCAUCUUGCCUGUUUGUUUUGCUCAGUACAGGCAGGGUGUGUUUCCCAUGUACACGUCACCGCACACACCUUUUGGUAGAAGGUUCUGUGGUGACUUCACUGUCCACACCGGUUGUCCUACUUUGUUGCUCGCUUUCAUUCUCUUAGAACAGCAGUUCUCAACUUGUGGGUUUCGACCCCUUUGGGGGUCAAAAGAUCCUUUCACAGGGGCCACAUUAGAUUUCCUGCAUACCAGAUAUUUACAUUAUGGUUCAUAACAGUAGCAAAAUUAGUCAUGAAGUAGCAAUGAAAAUAACUUUAUGCCCGGGCGGUGGUGGUGAAUACCAUUAAUCCCAGCAGUCGGAUCUCUGUGAGUUCAAGGCCAGCCUGGUCUACAGAGUGAGUUCCAGAAUGGCCAGGGCCACACAGAGAAACCCUGUCUCAACAAACAAACAAAAAUGAGUGAAUGAAUAAAUAAAUAAAGAUAAUGGUAUUGAUAAUAAUUUUACGGCUGGGCUCACCACCACAUGAGGAGCUGUAUUAACGGGUCGCUGCAUUAGGAAGGUUGAGAACCUCUGUCUUAGAAGAGCCGCAGGUUUGUGGAGCUCUCAGAUGCCCUAUUGUAUCUCUUCUGUGGACUUUGUCUUGAUAAAGUGUGCUGCAGAAUACAUGGAGUGGACCUUCCCUAGCAAAUACAUGAGAGGUCUCUAUGUGCCCCCCUCCAGUCAGCACCCCGCUACUGUGCUGCUGUUGGGCUUUCAGAGCUGUGGCUAGUGUGUGUCAUCAUUUAGCUAAUGCUGACUGCUCUUUCCUCUGCUUGAAGAACCCCUGGACUGAGGUUUAUGGCCUAAAGUAAAGCUGUAGAUCAGCCUCAACUGAGCAUGCUUGCAGUUAGGCAAGCAGGACCCCAGGUCAUUUGUGGUCUUCUCAGUCUCCCCUGGACACCUGGGUUUUAUUCGUUGUUACGUGAACCCGCUGACCCUUGGAAGUGCUAUUCGUGGAAAGCCUUGUUUACCACUUCACCUUGAUUCUCUGGGUCUUGCUUCUAUCUCAGGCCACCUGGCGCGUGCUGUUGCUGAUAGGCAAGAUUCCAAGGCCUUUUGGCCACAGUUGGAAAUAGUCAGGGGACUUCUCAGUCUCAGGUAGACAAGCUUGAGGAAGCAGAGCUUCUCGUCCCAAGAUUGACUCUGGUCCGCACUCAGGGCUGCCUGGAGCGGUAUGAGGUGCUUGUUGUGGGACUGGACCCUGCGUUAGAUAGAAUCCGUUUCUUCUGCUUUCGGACAGGAAGCAAGUGUGCAGUGCCCUAAGGGGGGUAUGUGUGCUGUGUGAGAACCACGUGUGUCAUCCCUGCUCUCUUCUUUCCCUUGAAAUGCCUGCACAUGCAGACCACAUCGCCUUGAUCAUAGAACUACUGGGGAAGGUGCCUCGCAAGCUCAUUGUGGCAGGAAAAUAUUCCAAGGAAUUUUUCACCAAAAAAGGUGACCUGAAACACAUCACCAAGCUGAAGCCUUGGGGCCUUCUGGAGGUUUUGGUGGAGAAGUAUGAGUGGCCUCAGGAGGAGGCUGCCGGAUUCACAGAUUUCCUGCUGCCUAUGUUGGAGCUCGUCCCUGAGAAGAGAGCCACAGCUGCUGAGUGUCUCCGGCACCCUUGGCUGAAUUCCUAAGCCCCUCAUGCACUGCAGCAGAGCUCAUCAGGCUUACCCUCCGGCCCUCCCCUCUGAGACUUUCCUCCCUUUUCCCUUUUCAGGGUGAAGCUCUUUCUUCAAGGGUUUCUAAAUUUUUUUUUUUUUUAAAUCCAACAUGUUCAUUUGGGUUUGCUUCCUUGACCCUGUGGAAAUCCCCACAGCCACUGGGCAUCCUAGGUGAAUUUGGCCUUAGUUGGGCUCUGCCAAAGACUCCAAGUAUGAACAGCCUCACCCUCUGCCCUGCCCUUUCUACAAAGAGCUGUGAAGAUCUGUGAGCCCAUCAUUUUUAGCCACUGGCUCUAAGAGUCAGGUUUUCUAAUGCACACCCCGCUGCCAGCACUAGGGUGAGGAGGGAGGGUGUGGAUUCUGUGGAUAGCAGAGACAUUAAACAUGCUCUAUCCAGGCUGCGGCAUCUUCCUGGAUUCUUUCUGUGUUUUCUAUGGUCACAUUUUUUUUCCUGCGACUUUUAAGCUACAUUUUUCGAUGAGCAACAAAUUUGGGUACCAGUUUAUCACUGUUAAAGGAUUGUCAGAUUUCUCUCAUCCUCUCAUAACUAAGUUCUUGGAAUUUUGAUUCUGAUUUUUAAUGUAAACAAAGCAACCAGUGAAUAUUUCCAGAGAGCCUCAGGUGUUGUGCAUAUAGUCCUUUCUGUGUGUCUUCUGUUGCCCUAAGCAGUUGCUUUGGUCCACACUUCCCGCUUUGAACGCCCUGCUGGCACCUGGCUUGCUCAGCCUGAGUUUACUGUUUUGUAACUAGAACAUGGGGUGAUCCAGACGGGAUAUGUGGGUUUCAGAGCUGUACAGUCUGGGGAGUGUUCCCACAUUCCAAGUCCUUCCCAGACAGCUCUUGGCUUCCAUUCACAGCUUUUCCUGCCUUGCCCGAACCCUGCCCUUGAUGCAGUUUCUCCAUGUGGCUUUGCUGUUCUCAUUUCUCAGAGGCUCGGGGUCUUUAAUGAAACCCUGGGUGAGGAACCGAGGGGAGGGGGAGGCAGUUUUCUUUUCCCUGUUGGUUUUGAUGUUAGCCAUCUUAUGCUGCUAUUUCCUUGUGUAAUGUCAGUUUUGAGAUGAUUGAAAUGUACUUGAGGCUUUUUCUUCUUAAUGCAAAAAGGCUUUGUGAAUUUCGUUUUAGGCUCAGCCUCAUAAACUUGAUCACCCAAACAUUACUUUUUCCCAGGGUGAAGUGAGCCUCAGAAGAGGGGCAGGACUGGGGUCAUGGAAAGGCUGCUUGCUAAUUUAUCGAGGACCAAGUGGGUCUUGAUACAGCACUCUCCUGAAACAGCUCAGUUUCUGACUUGAAGAAAACCACGGAAGUGCAAGCCAAGGCUCUCGUAGCAAGCUGAGUGAAAACGGCCACUGCCUCCUUCCUGUGUGUGAGACUGGAGAGUCACCUCGUGAUUGGCUCACGAGUGAGCAGGCUCAUGUAACUCAUCAGCUUCACCUGAGGAACUGGCCAGCCAGGCAUUGGCUCUGGAUUGGUAACUCCUGGAACCAGACGUGUUCCUGUAGAAAGAGUUGUAAGUCAGGCUAUCUAUGCACCUAUCCAGAACAGAGAGCAGAUGACAUCACGAACGGCAGGGAAACCCUCCACAGUUCUAACCCACUCUGGGUUGUCAACUGUACUGACACCUAAAGCAAUAGCAGACCUACCUGAAACUGCUUCUCAGCAAAUCACAGUUGCGGGAUCCCAGGAAUCCUAGCGACAUUAAGGUGGCAUGACCAGGAAACAAGCCAACAGCAGGCCUAUUUUAAUCAUUGAUACCAUGGGGAAUUUUAAUGGGGGGAGAACCUGGAACUUCACUUUGGAAAUAAGUCCCACCAAAUAAGGGCUUUCCUCCAUCACUAAGGAGCCAGAGGACCUGGGAGAGCGGAGGAGGCAGCAGCAGGAGCUGUCUGUCCGUCCAUGGCCUCCCUGAGCUUGGCUGUACAGGCCAGGUCUCACUGGAGGGCUGCUGUUGGCUCUUGGUUAAGAAUAAGCCCUGAUAUGUUUUAUAUUCUUUCUACUGAGUGCAUUGUUUGUGUCCUUACAAAUGCAGAACAAUAAACAGAGUAUUUAAUAACC